CGCGUGUGUGAAGAAGGUCUUCGGAUUGUAAAGCACUUUAAGUUGGGAGGAAGGGUAGUAGCUUAAUACGUUGCUACUUUGACGUUACCGACAGAAUAAGCACCGGCUAACUCUGUGCCAGCAGCCGCGGUAAUACAGAGGGUGCAAGCGUUAAUCGGAAUUACUGGGCGUAAAGCGCGCGUAGGUGGUUAUGUAAGUUGAAUGUGAAAUCCCCGGGCUCAACCUGGGAACUGCAUCCAAAACUGCAUGGCUAGAGUACGGUAGAGGGUGGUGGAAUUUCCUGUGUAGCNGCGAAAUGCG
This 300-nucleotide ribosomal RNA is filed under the name uncultured bacterium. RNAcentral describes it as "bacterial SSU rRNA". It matches the Rfam family "Bacterial small subunit ribosomal RNA", at positions 398 to 690 of the family's 1533-position model. The record is from RNAcentral.